This 1014-nucleotide long non-coding RNA is filed under the name Bos indicus x Bos taurus (hybrid cattle). Its description in RNAcentral is "lncRNA (ENSBIXG00005024202.1)". The record is from RNAcentral. Lineage: Eukaryota; Metazoa; Chordata; Mammalia; Artiodactyla; Bovidae.
AUGGCGGAGGUGGAGGAGGGGAUGAAAAGGGAGCCGGGGGCUGGGAGCGCGAACGGGGGUGGGGGCGUCGGGAAGGAGGAGGGGUGUGGGUCCCGGGGGCAGAGAACGGCGGGGGUGCGGGGAGGGGGAGGCGAAGUAAGAGGGAGGGGGGCGGAGAACGGCGGGGCGGGGAGAGUUGGAGAGGGGGACGGGAGGGAAGGGGGCGGGGGUGCAGGUCCCGGGGGUGAGGAGAGUUGGAGACGGAGGGGGCGGCGAGGGGGAGGGGUGGGGGAGGGGGGCGGAGAACGCCGGCGGGGGGCGGGGAGAGUUGAAGACCGAGGGGGCGCGGCGGGGAGGGGGAGGGUCGGAAGGGGGAAGGGUGGGGUGGGUCGGAAAGGGGAGGGGGUUGCGGUCCCGGGGUCGGAGAACGCCGGGGGCGGUAGGGAGAGUUGGAGACGGAGAGGGGCUGGGUGGGGGAGGGUCGGAGGGGGAGGGGGGGGACUGGCUGGGGCGGGGGCUGGGCCCUGCCUGGGAGUCUGGGGGCGCCGGCGGGGACUGACCGGGUCGGAGAGGUUUGCGAAAAGGGGCUCCGGGGAGGGGGUGGGCGGGGUGCGGGCGGCCCUCCGGCGCGCGGGCCUCUGCAAGCUCGGCGGCACUUCGGCCGAGCUGCGCCUUCCCCGGCCGGGGUCAGCUGCUCUCUUCCUUUUUCUCCUGCUUGGGGACGCGUGCCCCCCACCCUCCCCCCGACAGCCUGACUGGUGGGCGCGCCGCGCUGCAGGGUUGUGUUUGCUCUCCUGGCGGUCCGCGGCGGCUCCGCCGCCCGCCUUCUAUUUCCCCGUUCAGCCCCUGCUCCCGCGGGUUCAGCCCCUGCUCCCGCGGGUGCUUGGGUGCAGCGCCGGCGCUUCUGUUGGAAGCGGUGUCCCCGGCACCGCACAGAGACGGGAGUGGGCAGGGCGGACGCUGGUGGAAGGCUGGCUUGGCGCCCCCGCGCGCGCCCCGCAGCAUCUUUGUUUUCCGUACGUCUUGACUUCCUGA